RNAcentral lists this ribosomal RNA (396 nucleotides) under uncultured bacterium. RNAcentral describes it as "partial 16S ribosomal RNA". It matches the Rfam family "Bacterial small subunit ribosomal RNA", at positions 338 to 732 of the family's 1533-position model. The record is from RNAcentral.
CCUACGGGGGGCAGCAGUGAGGAAUAUUGGUCAAUGGGCGGGAGGCUGAACCAGCCAAGUCGCGUGAGGGAAGACGGCCCUAUGGGUUGUAAACCUCUUUUAUAGGGGAGGAAUAAAUGCUACGUGUAGCAUGCUGCGUGUACCUUAUGAAUAAGCAUCGGCUAACUCCGUGCCAGCAGCCGCGGUAAUACGGAGGAUGCGAGCGUUAUCCGGAUUUAUUGGGUUUAAAGGGUGCGCAGGCGGAAGUUUAAGUUAGUGGUUAAACGUCGGGGCUUCACCUUUACUUGCCAUUGAUACUGUAAGACUUGAGUUCAGACGAGGUAUGCGGAAUAAGUUAAGUAGCGGUGAAAUGCUUAGAUAUAACUCAGAACUCCGAUAGCGAAGGCAGCUUGCCAG